Penaeus indicus is the source of this 474-nucleotide long non-coding RNA. RefSeq lists it as uncharacterized. The record is from RefSeq and is a predicted model, not a curated record. Lineage: Eukaryota; Metazoa; Arthropoda; Malacostraca; Decapoda; Penaeidae. The transcript has 5 exons.
CAACAACAGACGACAACACAGAGCGAGUCGGGCCAGCUGAUCGCUCGGGUGCGGAGUGAGGCCGAGGUUCACCACGGGGUUUUCACGUUCAGACUCUAAGUUCACAUUAAGAGGGGCAAGGAGGUGCAAUCAGAGGUUGUAUCCAGGCAACAUGCGGGAAUAAGGCAGUGGAAUCUAACGUGGGAGGAGAAGGAUGGAAAGGAGGUGCAAGAGUGAAGAACUGAGAAAGAAGGAUAAAGCAGGCAGUUGGGAGAAGAGGAAGAUAGAAAGGUGUAGAAAAGAAACAAAGGAGGAAUGUGGUGCUGUCGGCCCGCGUUCCAGCUACACCGAGGCGUGGGUCGAGAAGAAGUGAUGUCUUCUACUCUUGUUGAGACAGUCUCUAUCAACUAUGAGGAUUUCAAUGAGUCAUUCCUCACCUGUGGCACAUGCCUUUGUAAGUAUUUUGCUUUGAAGGUUAUGAAAGUAAAUUGUAUA